This 596-nucleotide long non-coding RNA is filed under the name Prunus persica (peach). Its description in RNAcentral is "long non-coding RNA (PPER_LNC000123)". Lineage: Eukaryota; Viridiplantae; Streptophyta; Magnoliopsida; Rosales; Rosaceae. The record is from RNAcentral.
ACGAUUUCAAAUUUUGAAAACUCGUCGAGGACAACUAUGAUUGUAAUGAAUAGGAAAUAUGAUUUUGGAUUUUUUUUUUUUAAUGUAUUAUGAAUUUGAAUUUUUUAUCAUUUAUAUUUUAUGAGAGGCCCCCACACACAUGAAAUCCUAACUUCGUCACUAAUUCGUCCUCACCAAAAAUUUCAAGGAUAACAAAAAGGAGUGGGACGAGGAGGAAAUGGGAAGAGAGGAGGGAAGAAAAGGGAGGUGCAGCGAGGGAAGGGUAGAGAAAGGGGAGAAAGGAGGAAAAGGUAGGGAAAAAGAGGGAUGGGGGAGGAGAACACCACUCACUGAAGCUAAAGUUCCUGAGGGAUUUUUGAUUUAGAGAGAGCACAUUUUAUGUUGGUUAAAUUGUAGCAAUAGUCCCUGGACUAAGACUAAACUUUACUUUUCAUCCCUCCUAUUGCUAAAUUGUUACGAUGGUACUUUAAUUAUGCCUCUAAUUUCAGAAAUCGUCCUUUUCGUCAGCUUAGUCAACUUUUCCGUUAAAAAUGAUGACAUGGCAUGGGCAAAAAUGUCUUUUCACACAAAAAUUUAAAAAAUAAAUCUCAUCUCAU